Molecule: ribosomal RNA, 312 nt
Filed under: Triticum aestivum (bread wheat)
Lineage: Eukaryota; Viridiplantae; Streptophyta; Magnoliopsida; Poales; Poaceae
Description: partial small subunit ribosomal RNA
Source: RNAcentral
AUGCGCCAGUGCUGCAACCGCCCUAGAAAAAGCUACAACCAGCGGCCAGUUUUUGUUGCAUCGGCGACGGUGAUUUUUUUGGCAUGUGAGGUAGAUGACUGCUACUGGCGACCAAGGAAGAUGCAUCCCGCUGGAGAAAAUGCUACAACCGGCAACAGAAAAAGCUACAACUCGCGGCUAUAUAUGUUGCAAGCGGCGAUGUUGAAGUUUUGGCCGCCGAUGCUACGACCAAAAAAGCUGGAACCGACGAUUUCUUUUGCUACCAUCGUCGGAGCAAAAAAACGUGACACGGCGAUCCAAGAGAGGUUGUAA